UAAAUAGCUAGGCUUAACAUUGUUAGGUCGUCAGCUUCUUAGAGGGACUAUCGGUGUUUAACCGAUGGAAGUUUGAGGCAAUAACAGGUCUGUGAUGCCCUUAGAUGUUCUGGGC
This 115-nucleotide ribosomal RNA is filed under the name Rhizophagus clarus. RNAcentral's name for it is "partial small subunit ribosomal RNA". It matches the Rfam family "Eukaryotic small subunit ribosomal RNA", at positions 1352 to 1487 of the family's 1831-position model. Lineage: Eukaryota; Fungi; Glomeromycota; Glomeromycetes; Glomerales; Glomeraceae. The record is from RNAcentral.